This 1361-nucleotide ribosomal RNA is filed under the name uncultured bacterium. RNAcentral's name for it is "bacterial SSU rRNA". It matches the Rfam family "Bacterial small subunit ribosomal RNA", at positions 28 to 1381 of the family's 1533-position model. The record is from RNAcentral.
AUUGAACGCUGGCGGCAGGCCUAACACAUGCAAGUCGAGCGGUAGCACAGAGAGCUUGCUCUCGGGUGACGAGCGGCGGACGGGUGAGUAAUGUCUGGGAAACUGCCUGAUGGAGGGGGAUAACUACUGGAAACGGUAGCUAAUACCGCAUAACGUCGCAAGACCAAAGUGGGGGACCUUCGGGCCUCAUGCCAUCAGAUGUGCCCAGAUGGGAUUAGCUAGUAGGUGGGGUAACGGCUCACCUAGGCGACGAUCCCUAGCUGGUCUGAGAGGAUGACCAGCCACACUGGAACUGAGACACGGUCCAGACUCCUACGGGAGGCAGCAGUGGGGAAUAUUGCACAAUGGGCGCAAGCCUGAUGCAGCCAUGCCGCGUGUGUGAAGAAGGCCUUCGGGUUGUAAAGCACUUUCAGCGGGGAGGAAGGCGAUAAGGUUAAUAACCUUGUCGAUUGACGUUACCCGCAGAAGAAGCACCGGCUAACUCCGUGCCAGCAGCCGCGGUAAUACGGAGGGUGCAAGCGUUAAUCGGAAUUACUGGGCGUAAAGCGCACGCAGGCGGUCUGUCAAGUCGGAUGUGAAAUCCCCGGGCUCAACCUGGGAACUGCACUCGAAACUGGCAGGCUAGAGUCUUGUAGAGGGGGGUAGAAUUCCAGGUGUAGCGGUGAAAUGCGUAGAGAUCUGGAGGAAUACCGGUGGCGAAGGCGGCCCCCUGGACAAAGACUGACGCUCAGGUGCGAAAGCGUGGGGAGCAAACAGGAUUAGAUACCCUGGUAGUCCACGCCGUAAACGAUGUCGAUUUGGAGGUUGUGCCCUUGAGGCGUGGCUUCCGGAGCUAACGCGUUAAAUCGACCGCCUGGGGAGUACGGCCGCAAGGUUAAAACUCAAAUGAAUUGACGGGGGCCCGCACAAGCGGUGGAGCAUGUGGUUUAAUUCGAUGCAACGCGAAGAACCUUACCUGGUCUUGACAUCCACAGAACUUUCCAGAGAUGGAUUGGUGCCUUCGGGAACUGUGAGACAGGUGCUGCAUGGCUGUCGUCAGCUCGUGUUGUGAAAUGUUGGGUUAAGUCCCGCAACGAGCGCAACCCUUAUCCUUUGUUGCCAGCGGUCCGGCCGGGAACUCAAAGGAGACUGCCAGUGAUAAACUGGAGGAAGGUGGGGAUGACGUCAAGUCAUCAUGGCCCUUACGACCAGGGCUACACACGUGCUACAAUGGCAUAUACAAAGAGAAGCGACCUCGCGAGAGCAAGCGGACCUCAUAAAGUAUGUCGUAGUCCGGAUUGGAGUCUGCAACUCGACUCCAUGAAGUCGGAAUCGCUAGUAAUCGUAGAUCAGAAUGCUACGGUGAAUACGUUCCCGGGCCU